This 477-nucleotide ribosomal RNA is filed under the name uncultured bacterium. RNAcentral describes it as "bacterial SSU rRNA". It matches the Rfam family "Bacterial small subunit ribosomal RNA", at positions 29 to 506 of the family's 1533-position model. The record is from RNAcentral.
AUAAACGCUGGCGGCGUGCCUAACACAUGCAAGUCGAGCGAGAAAGUCCUUCGGGGCGAGUACAGCGGCAGACGGGUGAGUAACGCGUGAGAAUCUACCCUUCAGUGAAGAAUAUCUUCGAGAAAUCGAAGUUAAUACUGCAUACGUCCCUUCGGGGAGAAAGAUGGCCUCUUUGCUGUCGCUGAUGGAUGAGCUCGCGUACUAUUAGCUAGUUGGUGGGGUAAAGGCCUACCAAGGCAAUGAUGGUUAGCCGGCCUGAGAGGGUGAUCGGCCACACUGGAACUUAGACACGGUCCAGACUCCUACGGGAGGCAGCAGUGAGGAAUAUUGCGCAAUGGGCGAAAGCCUGACGCAGCGACGCCGCGUGAAGGAUGAAGGUCUUCGGAUUGUAAACUUCUGUUAAGCGGGACGAAAGGCUCACUUCUAAUACAAGUGAGAGAUGACGGUACCGUUAAAGAAAGCACCGGCUAAACUCGU